Sebastes umbrosus (honeycomb rockfish) is the source of this 748-nucleotide long non-coding RNA. RefSeq lists it as uncharacterized. The transcript is spliced from 6 exons. Lineage: Eukaryota; Metazoa; Chordata; Actinopteri; Perciformes; Sebastidae. The record is from RefSeq and is a predicted model, not a curated record.
UUUGAUUCGCAAGGUGGAGGCAGCUGGUGACGUCAAGCGACGCGCUAACUAACAAACAAACAUGGCGGACUGAAACAUAACUCCCGCCGAAAGUAAAGUAGGAUAAUCAAUAACAAAAUGACUGAAGAGCUUGAAGACCUGUGAUUUAAUGAAGUAGUUAAUUCGUCGUCAGUGUUCCUAGCAGGAGGAAGAGAGUGCCAGGUGACAAGUUUCCCUUCUACCUUGCUGAUGUGGCCAAACGUCUUGUGUCCGCCGCCCGAACAACUGCUGUGGGAGGUUUUUAUUCCCGUCUGUUAGACCUUCAGGCUGUCGGAGGAGAAUGUCGAGGUGGCAGAAGUUUCUACAGGUGUUGUCUUUUUGGUGUAAACACUGGCAGCGAGGUCCGCUGCUGGUUGCCAAGGACUCCGCCACAGCGCGCCUUGUUCUGGGAGAGUUGCCCAGUCCGUAUGAGACCAUGCGCCUGGAGAGGGAAAGGUGUGUUGACCCAUAUGAUGUCCAGGUGGCAGAAGUAGAUGCACUCAUUGUCCAGGAAAUUGGCGCAGGAGCAGCGCUUGGUCCGCACAUGGCUCCGCUGCUGCUGCUGCUGCUGCUGCUGCUGCUGCUGCUGCUGGGUGUCGGUGUUGGUGGUGGAGGCUGUGGGUGUCUCUCCAGCUGGCGCUGAUAGCACUGUGGUGAAAUAAAACAACACCUGCUGAUUAAAGUGAGCAACACAUCCGGCUCAGACUCACUUAAGACUGCUACCAGAUGG